UCAAAAACAGUCCCGAGACGCUAACUUUGGGAGUUAGAGAGUGGUGUAAACCAUUUUUGAA
This 61-nucleotide transfer RNA is filed under the name Aplysia kurodai (Kuroda's sea hare). RNAcentral's name for it is "tRNA-Pro". RNAcentral also lists the same sequence under 4 other names. The record is from RNAcentral. Lineage: Eukaryota; Metazoa; Mollusca; Gastropoda; Aplysiida; Aplysiidae.